AGCUCCAAGAGCGUAUAUUAAAGUUGUUGCAGUUAAAAAGCUCGUAGUUGGAUUUCUGGUAUAGUGCGCCUGGCCCGCUGCGGUUACGCAUGUGAGUGCCGGUGCGCGCUUGCCAUCCUUCUAGAAAACGUUUCUACCCUUCGCUGGGCCGGACUCGCGAUCUAGAUCUUUUACUUUGAAAAAAUUAGAGUGUUUAAAGCAGGCUUUUGCUAUGAAUACAUUAGCAUGGAAUAAUAAUCUAGGACUUCGGUUCUAUUUUGUUGGUUUCUAGUACUGAAGUAAUGAUUGAUAGGGAUAGUUGGGGGUGCUAGUAUUGGCCGGCCAGAGGUGAAAUUCUUGGAUUCGGUCAAGACUAACUUAUGCGAAAGCAUUCACCAAGGAUGUCUUCA
Molecule: ribosomal RNA, 389 nt
Filed under: uncultured eukaryote
Lineage: Eukaryota
Description: SSU rRNA
Rfam family: Eukaryotic small subunit ribosomal RNA
Source: RNAcentral